This 251-nucleotide ribosomal RNA is filed under the name uncultured bacterium. Its description in RNAcentral is "partial 16S ribosomal RNA". It matches the Rfam family "Bacterial small subunit ribosomal RNA", at positions 15 to 257 of the family's 1533-position model. The record is from RNAcentral.
GAUCAUGGCUCAGGAUGAACGCUAGCUACAGGCUUAACACAUGCAAGUCGAGGGGCAUCAGGAAGAAAGCUUGCUUUCUUUGCUGGCGACCGGCGCACGGGUGAGUAACACGUAUCCAACCUACCCUUUACUCGGGGAUANCCUUUCGAAAGAAAGAUUAAUACCCGAUGGCAUAAUGAUUCCGCAUGGUUUCAUUAUUAAAGGAUUCCGGUAAAGGAUGGGGGAUGUGUUCCAUUAGGUUGUUGGUGAGG